UUUGAGUGGUAGGGGAGCGUUCUGUAAGCCGUUGAAGGUGAACCGGGAGGUUUGCUGGAGGUAUCAGAAGUGCGAAUGCUGACAUGAGUAACGAUAAUGCGGGUGAAAAACCCGCACGCCGGAAGACCAAGGGUUCCUAUCCCAUGUUAAUCAGGGUAGGGUAAGUCGACCCCUAAGGCGAGGCCGAAAGGCGUAGUCGAUGGGAAACGGGUUAAUAUUCCCGUACUUGGUAUAAUUGCGAUGGGGGGACGGAGCAGGCUAAACAAGCAUGGCGUUGGUUGUCCAUGUGAAAGUGAGUAGGUUGGUGACUUAGGAAAAUCCGGGUUGCUAAGACUGAGACACGAGACGAGCACCCAAGGGUGUGAAGUUGUUGAUGCCAUACUUCCAGGAAAAGCCUCUAAGCUUCAGAUUAUACCGAAUCGUACCCCAAACCGACACAGGUGGUCAGGUAGAGAAUACUAAGGCGCUUGAGAGAACUCGGGUGAAGGAACUAGGCAAAAUUGUACCGUAACUUCGGGAGAAGGUACGCUCCUAUCUGUGAUGAGACUUGCUCUCUAAGCGGACGGGAGCCGCAGUGACCAGGUGGCUGGGACUGUUUAUUAAAAACACAGCACUGUGCAAAAUCGCAAGAUGACGUAUACGGUGUGACACCUGCCCGGUGCCGGAAGGUUAAUUGAUGGGGUUAGUUUUCGGACGAAGCUCUUGAUCGAAGCCCCGGUAAACGGCGGCCGUAACUAUAACGGUCCUAAGGUAGCGAAAUUCCUUGUCGGGUAAGUUCCGACCUGCACGAAUGGUGUAACCAUGGCCACGCUGUCUCCACCCGAGACUCAGUGAAAUUGAAAUCGCAGUGAAGAUGCUGUGUACCCGCGGCUAGACGGAAAGACCCCGUGAACCUUUACUACAGCUUGGCACUGAACAUUGACCCUACAUGUGUAGGAUAGGUGGGAGGCUUUGAAGCAGAAACGCUAGUUUUUGUGGAGCCGUCCUUGAAAUACCACCCUUGUAGUGUUGAUGUUCUAACGUUGGUCCCUGAUCGGGAUUACGGACAGUGCCUGGUGGGUAGUUUGACUGGGGCGGUCUCCUCCCAAAGAGUAACGGAGGAGCACGAAGGUUGGCUAAGUACGGUCGGACAUCGUACGGUUAGUGUAAUGGUAGAAGCCAGCUUAACUGCGAGACAGACACGUCGAGCAGGUACGAAAGUAGGUCAUAGUGAUCCGGUGGUUCUGAAUGGAAGGGCCAUCGCUCAACGGAUAAAAGGUACUCCGGGGAUAACAGGCUGAUACCGCCCAAGAGUUCAUAUCGACGGCGGUGUUUGGCACCUCGAUGUCGGCUCAUCACAUCCUGGGGCUGAAGUCGGUCCCAAGGGUAUGGCUGUUCGCCAUUUAAAGUGGUACGCGAGCUGGGUUUAGAACGUCGUGAGACAGUUCGGUCCCUAUCUGCCGUGGGCGUUUGAGAAUUGAGAGGGGUUGCUCCUAGUACGAGAGGACCGGAGUGAACGAACCGCUGGUGUUCGGGUUGUCAUGCCAAUGGCACUGCCCGGUAGCUACGUUCGGAACUGAUAAGCGCUGAAAGCAUCUAAGCGCGAAGCAGGCCUCGAGAUGAGUUCUCACUAGACUUUUAAAGUCUCUGAAGGGCCGUUGAAGACUACAACGUUGAUAGGCAGGAUGUGGAAGUGGUGUGAGCCAUUAAGCUAACCUGUACUAAUUACCCGUGAGGCUUAACCAU
This 1725-nucleotide ribosomal RNA is filed under the name Pseudoalteromonas shioyasakiensis. RNAcentral describes it as "partial 23S ribosomal RNA". It matches the Rfam family "Bacterial large subunit ribosomal RNA", at positions 1220 to 2925 of the family's 2925-position model. The record is from RNAcentral. Lineage: Bacteria; Pseudomonadati; Pseudomonadota; Gammaproteobacteria; Alteromonadales; Pseudoalteromonadaceae.